Helianthus annuus (common sunflower) is the source of this 753-nucleotide long non-coding RNA. RefSeq lists it as uncharacterized. The record is from RefSeq and is a predicted model, not a curated record. NCBI's taxonomy places the organism in Eukaryota, Viridiplantae, Streptophyta, Magnoliopsida, Asterales, Asteraceae. The transcript is spliced from 3 exons.
UUAUUUUAAGUUAAUAGUGUACUGGUUAUAACUAAUAUCAAAUCUUUACUAAUACUUGAUUUCUUUUUAUGAUGGUUGACUUUGCGAGAACUAACGGAGCAUUAGUGUCAAGAAUGGGCUGAGAUUCGAAUUCAGUCGGUUUUUCACUCUUUUUUGACAAAAAGGGAUCAAGAUCGGGACCGUCCAUUUGACUUCACACGGAUCACCAUCUGCUUUCUCUCAACCCAUUUGACUUAUGCUACAGACAAAAAGGGAUCAAGAUCGGGACCGUCCAUUUGACUUCACACGGAUCACCAUCUGCUUUCUCUCUCAAUGCUCACACAUCUGACAAAAAGGGAUGCUAAAAGCAGGGAAGUACAAUCUACAGGAAAAAGCAACACUUUACUUUUGUGUGAAAGACAGCUUGCUUGCUGCAGUCUAUAAUAUAUCAACACUCUUCCAUACACUGUUUGAAAGACAGCACUGCUUCCUUCAGUCUCUAUAAAUAAUCCAGAGAUAUCUACACUCUACUCACACUUUACAAACUCUCAACUACACUCAACUGAAAUUAAUAUAUCAACUCUUUGCAUUCGGAUCUUGCGUUGUUUCUCGGCUCUCACAUCAAGGUUUUAAAAUUUUUGUCGGCUUUUCACAUCUCCCUCUUGCAUUGUUGUAAGUUCUUUCAAAUAUGACAUAGUGAACGGAUAAAUUGUUUUUGUGGUUUUUAUUUUACUUUGUUCUGUUAUAUUUUGAUCUUUUCCUUCAUUGUUGGGA